CCUGACUCGGUACCGAGUCCAGCAUGCUUGACCCGAUCCGAGUCUGGUAGGCCCUGGACUGAUCCAGACCUAGUCCGAACCUGUCAAAAGUACUGAGUCGAGUCGAAGAGAGGCCAAAUUGGUUGAUACAGACUGUAUUGGAUCAUUGUGGGGCCAAUACGAUGAUAAAGGCCCUCCUUUUUUAAAAGGUUUCUUUCAUUUUUUUUCCGAUUUUGUUCUUUCUUACAACCAUAAAGGCAACUUUAAAACUCAUUUUAGACUAGAUCUAAAACUAUUUUGAGAAUUAAAAUACAAGAAUUGAGUUGGAUUUGAUGAAUCAAAGCGGAUUAAACCGUUUUGGGAAUAUUGGAGAAAGGGGGUAAACCAUGAA
Long non-coding RNA from Magnolia sinica, 370 nucleotides. RefSeq lists it as uncharacterized. The record is from RefSeq and is a predicted model, not a curated record. NCBI's taxonomy places the organism in Eukaryota, Viridiplantae, Streptophyta, Magnoliopsida, Magnoliales, Magnoliaceae. The transcript is spliced from 2 exons.